Molecule: small RNA, 28 nt
Filed under: Bombyx mori (domestic silkworm)
Lineage: Eukaryota; Metazoa; Arthropoda; Insecta; Lepidoptera; Bombycidae
Description: ovarian small RNA-36588
Source: RNAcentral
UUACGUGAUACAAACAAUACUGACGUGC